AAAUAUUAAUCUUAAUUUAAUUUUGAGUUUAUAUAUUGAUUUUAAUUAAAAUAAUAUUUAAUUAAUUGAAUUUAGUAGUUUUAAAGAAAAAUUUUAAUAAUUUAUAGUUUAUUUUUAUUGUGAAAGAUUGAUGAAAUAAUUGAAAAUUAAAUUUUUUAAAAGUAAAUUUAAUUUAUUGUAUCUUGUGUAUCAGAGUUUAUUUAAAAUAUUUUAAUUAUUUAAAUUUCUCGAAAUUAAGAGAUUUAAUUAAAAAGAUUAGUUAAUGUGUAAUAAUUAUUAAUUAUUUUUAAUUAGAAAUGAAACGUUAUUCGUUCUUUAUGAUACCUAGUUAUUUAAGAAAUUAUUUUAAUUUAGGUAAAAUUUUAUUAAUGAAUUUAUUUAUAAGUUUAUUAAAAAUUUAUACUUAUAUAUUAUGGGAUAAGCUAUAAUGUAUAUUUUUAAACAAAUUUUAAAUGUAUAUAUUAAAAUUAUUAGAGUUAAAAUUUUUUAUUUAAUUUAAUUUAUUAUAAAUAAUUUUAUAACGUUUAUAUUUUAAUUUAAUGAGUUAAUUUAAUUAUUAAAUUAUAAACUUAAAUUUGUAAAGUUUAAAAAUAAUGGUAAAAUUAGUAUAUGUUAUACAUUAAAUUUAAUUAAUAAUUUUUUAGAUAGGUUAAUUUAAGGAAUUCGGCAAAUUUAUAUUCGCUUGUUUAACAAAAACAUGUCUUUUUGAUUAAUAAUUUAAAGUCUAAUCUGCCCACUGAAUUAAAUUUAAAGGGCUGCGGUAUUUUGACUGUGCGAAGGUAGCAUAAUAAAUAGUCUUUUUAUUGAAGACUGGAAUGAAUGAUUGGACGAAAUAAAAACUGUCUCAUAUUAAAUUAAAUAGAACUUAAUUUUUUAGUUAAAAAGCUAAAAUAUUAUUAAAAGACGAGAAGACCCUAUAGAUCUUUAUAAUUAAUUUUAAUUUAAAUUUAGAAAAAAUUAUUUGGUUGGGGUGAUCUUGAAAUUUAUUUAACUUUUUAUAAAAAUAAUCAAAAAUUUUUGAUUUUAAUUGAUCCUGUAUUAUGGAUUAUUAGAAUAAGAUACCUUAGGGAUAACAGCGUAAUUUAAUUUUUAAGUUCUUAUUGAAAAUUAAGAUUGCGACCUCGAUGUUGGAUUAAAAUUAUUUUUGGGUGCAAAAUUUCAAAUAUUAAGUCUGUUCGACUUUUAAAAUUUUACAUGAUCUGAGUUCAGACCGGUGUAAGCCAGGUUGGUUUCUAUCUUUAUUAACAUAGUUUUAUUUUAGUACGAAAGGAUUUGGUAAAAAAAAUAAAUUUUAUAAAUAAUGAAAAUUAUUAAAAAAUGAGUU
RNAcentral lists this ribosomal RNA (1324 nucleotides) under Himalopsyche eos. RNAcentral describes it as "16S ribosomal RNA". Lineage: Eukaryota; Metazoa; Arthropoda; Insecta; Trichoptera; Rhyacophilidae. The record is from RNAcentral.